This 1209-nucleotide ribosomal RNA is filed under the name uncultured bacterium. Its description in RNAcentral is "partial 16S ribosomal RNA". It matches the Rfam family "Bacterial small subunit ribosomal RNA", at positions 226 to 1439 of the family's 1533-position model. The record is from RNAcentral.
UGGACCCGCGUCUUAUCAGCUAGUUGGUGGGGUAAAAGCCUACCAAGGCGAAGACGGGUAGCCGGCCUGAGAGGGUGAACGGCCACACUGGGACUGAGACACGGCCCAGACUCCUACGGGAGGCAGCAGUGAGGAAUAUUGCGCAAUGGGGGAAACCCUGACGCAGCGACGCCGCGUGGAUGAUGAAGGCCUUCGGGUCGUAAAAUCCUGUCAGAUGGAAAGAAGUGCAUGGUGGCUAAUACCUGCCAUGUUUGACGGUACCAUCGAAGGAAGCACCGGCUAACUCCGUGCCAGCAGCCGCGGUAAUACGGAGGGUGCAAGCGUUGUUCGGAAUUACUGGGCGUAAAGCGCGCGUAGGCGGUUUGCUCAGUCAGAUGUGAAAGCCCAUGGCUCAACCAUGGACGUGCAUUUGAAACUGGCAGACUUGAGUGCAGGAGAGGGCAAUGGAAUUCCAUGUGUAGCGGUAAAAUGCGUAGAUAUAUGGAGGAACACCAGUGGCGAAGGCGGUUGCCUGGCCUGUAACUGACGCUGAGGCACGAAAGCGUGGGGAGCAAAUAGGAUUAGAUACCCUAGUAGUCCACGCUGUAAACGAUGAAUACUAAGUGUUGGAGAAAUUCAGUGCUGCAGUUAACGCAAUAAGUAUUCCGCCUGGGGAGUAUGCACGCAAGUGUGAAACUCAAAGGAAUUGACGGGGGCCCGCACAAGCGGUGGAGUAUGUGGUUUAAUUCGAAGCAACGCGAAGAACCUUACCAAGUCUUGACAUACCGUGCAAAACCCUGGAGACAGGGGAAUAGUUAUGGCGGAUACAGGUGGUGCAUGGUUGUCGUCAGCUCGUGUCGUGAGAUGUUGGGUUAAGUCCCGCAACGAGCGCAACCCUUGUCUUUAGUUACCAUCAUUCAGUUGGGGACUCUAGAGAGACUGCCGGUGAUAAACCGGAGGAAGGUGGGGAUGACGUCAAAUCAUCAUGCCCCUUAUGGCCUGGGCUACAAACGUAAUACAAUGGCGUAUACAAAGGGAUGCGAAAGGGCGACCUGGAGCAAAACUCACAAAGCCGGUCUCAGUUCGGAUUGGAGUCUGCAACUCGACUCCAUGAAGGCGGAAUCGCUAGUAAUCGCGGAUCAGCAUGCCGCGGUGAAUACGUUCUCGGGGUUUGUACACACCGCCCGUCAAACCAUGAGAGUUGGUAAUACCCGAAGUCGCUGAGCUAAC